GGGAACGAGGUGCAACUCCUCGACAGUGCCGCUACGGUGACCGAUCCUAGAGAAGGUUCGGAAGUCCGAGUACC
This 74-nucleotide non-coding RNA is filed under the name Candidatus Tayloriibacteriota. The record is from RNAcentral.